RNAcentral lists this unclassified non-coding RNA (1090 nucleotides) under Bifidobacterium sp. 130. Its description in RNAcentral is "partial 16S-23S ribosomal RNA intergenic spacer". The stretch from base 1 to 644 matches the Rfam family "Bacterial small subunit ribosomal RNA", at positions 954 to 1533 of the family's 1533-position model. The record is from RNAcentral. Lineage: Bacteria; Bacillati; Actinomycetota; Actinomycetes; Bifidobacteriales; Bifidobacteriaceae.
ACGUGAGCACGAUGAACUGAUACCGUACUGAUCGAUCGUCGUCAGAUCGUCGACUACCGUAGCAUCGCUAGGAUCGCGCAGCUAUCAGCAUGACGGUCGCAUCGCGAGCAUCGAUAUCGAUGCACGAGACUUACUGGCUGACAGUCCGACGAUCAGGAUGGAUGCGUCGGGCGGUCCAGUAGUGCAUGUCGUCGUCAGCUCGGUCGGAGAUGUCGGUUAGUCCGCAACGAGCGCAACCUCGCCCCGUGUUGCAGCGAUGAGCUGGAACUCACGGGACCGCGGGGUAACUCGAGAAGGUGGGAUACGUCAGAUCAUCAUGCCCUUCGUCCAGGGCUCAGCAUGUACAAUGCUCGUACACGGGAUGCGCUGCGCGAGCUGAGCGAUCCCGAAACCCGUCUCAGUUCGGAUCGCAGUCUCAACUCGACUGCGGGAGGCGGAGUCGCUAGUAUCGCGAAUCAGCAACGGCGCCGUUGAUGCGGUUCCGGGCCUUGUACACCCCGCCCGUCAAGUCAAGAAAAUUGGCAACACCCGAAACCGGUGGCCUUACCCCCUGCGGGAAGGAACCGUUUAAGGUGAGGCUUGUGAUUGGGGCUAAAUUGUAACCAGGUAACCGUUCCGGAAGGUGCGGCCGGAUCCCCUCCCUUUUUCGGAGAAUUCGGCCGGAAGUUUCUCCGGCGGUGCGUGCCCCGGGGUCGCGGCCGUCGCGGCGGUUUGGGGGUGGUGGUGUGGAAGAGAUCAUGGGCUUUCGGUGCCUUCGUUGUGGGAUGUUUCCCGGGAAGGGUGGGGAUGCCCUUUUGGGCUUCCGGAUUCCCCCCCCCGGCCUUGGGCCUGGCGCGAUUCGAUGCCCAUCGUGCCUGAUGGCGGGCUGGUCCCGUCCGGACGGCGUGGUGGUGCGUGGUGGCUUGAGAACUGGAUAGUGGACGCGAGCAAGACGGGGUUUCCUUUGAUUCCUCGUUCUUGCUGUUGAUUUCGAAUCGAACUCUAUUUUUAGUGUUUGUUUCGAUCGUUUUGUGAUCAUUUUAGUGUGAUGAUUUGUCGUCUGGGAAUUUGCUAGGAAGGAUCCUUGCGGCCAUGCGCACCGUGUGGGCCG